AUGCUCUGCACCAGAACCAGCCCGCUGAACUGGGGCCAGCAGCCUCUCGAGACCUCUCCGCGGCUCCCACGGGCCACGUCGAUGACGUCACGUCCGCUCCCAGGAGUCGCUUCCCACGGGCUUGACGAACAGCAUGGAUUCCUAAACCCACAGGGCAGAGGUUGCUCCGGGGGCCGCGGCGGGGCGCUAUUCGGAGUCAGCUGGGACAAGUGGUCUAGGCGGGGCGGAGGGGAAUGGCGCGAGUCCCAAUCAGCAGCCAGGCCUCACUGGCAGUGGCACUCCCAACCACCUUUUCGGACUGCUACUGCAGUGGCCGCAGCCUUAAAAAAAAGGCCCAGCUGCUCUGAGACGUCGCUUCCGGAUGAGAGGUGUAGAUGUCCCUCAGCUGACUGUCAUCAGUAUAUGUGAUGUGAGCUCACUGAUCAGUGACCUUUGUGACCAGCCUGGUAGGAUAGAGCUUAUACAUGGAAGCCCCAAAAUUACAGAACACCUGUGUGCAAAAGACUGGACAGCGCUGACUGACCCACUUAUAUGGCUGCGACACAGACUCCUUUUUCCCUGGCAUCCUAGAAGGUAGGUGGAUACUUUCUAGCACUCUUUGCCUUGCAUAGGGCUCAGUCAUUUACCCAUGAGAAUUUACCAUUUCUGGAAAAGCAUCACAGUAUGACAUGUUAUCAUUAAAGGAAUCCUGUUCUUUAAAACAGAAAUUAUCUUCAUAGGAAUGUUCCCUA
Molecule: long non-coding RNA, 731 nt
Filed under: Cavia porcellus (domestic guinea pig)
Lineage: Eukaryota; Metazoa; Chordata; Mammalia; Rodentia; Caviidae
Description: lncRNA (ENSCPOG00000032521.1)
Source: RNAcentral